CGGUUUUCUUCCGACAUCGAUAUAAUUGGAGAAGAAAGGAGGGAUAAUGGUUUGGUUUUGUUGUCUGAUUAUAGUGUUUUUGAGUUUGGUUUGGUUUCUUGUCUGAUUAAAGUGUUUUUGAGUUGGUGUAUUGUAAUAUUUAUAGAGAAGCUAGCGUAAACGGCUAUAUUUCUCUUAAAGGUUUGAGUCUGGUAUCGAGAUCCACAACACAAAACGCCUGCGUUUCUCCUAACGGUAAUAAUAAUGUUGGAAUCGAACCGGUCUUGCAACCACCUAAACCGGUCUUGCAACUUCUUCUCGAAGAUGGUGCCUUAGCUAUACUAACUGAUGAAAAAGAAAGACGAUAUGAAUGCUUAGUCUUAAAGACAGAUCUUUGCUUUUGCGUAGUUCUAGACUGAAGUUGAUAUUGGAGUAUGGGCUGGCUACAACUGUAGAGCUAGACGCCAUGGUGCUGUGAAAUUGAUAGAUCUUCUUCUUGUACAUCCCCGGAAUGCUUGUGACAUUGAAACUUAACAACAUGGUUCUUGUUCAUGUUUCUUCACUAGUGUUUCUCAAGAAAAUUGAGUCUUGUAUCCAUCAAAAUACCCAGGUGGUGAUGAUGAAUCUGUCAACAAGCUUUUAUCCAAUUACAUGUACUUCACGGCUUGUAUGUGGUGCUGUGUCCUGAUUACCAUUUGUAAUUAAACUGAAAGAACUAGCAAUGAUGAAGAUGGGGGUUGUCCUUCUUUGUAGACGUUGGUUAUUAGUGAAUGGUGAUUAUACUGGUGGGUUUGAGAAUGAAAUGCCGAGCAUUGUGAAGGCACAUAUUGACUAUUGGUAUAGUCAUUCUGGGUUUUAUAAAAUCAGCCAAGGAUCUCUGUUUAUGUUUAUCAUUCUCAAAGACUCAGCAAAGGUUGAAAAGGAAGGAUUCUCAUUACCUAGUUCAUGUACUUCUCCUGGAAUGUCAGUUUUUGGGUUUUGUAGUUCCCAAGGAAAGUAUACACUUGAGAGCAGUUCCUCUUAUUUCAUCGGAUGAGUCUUGGAGGCUCUCAUCGUCUUUGCUUGGCGCACCAACCAGAACCGCAACACCACCCCAGCCCUGAGACAACAUCACAUAGUCAUAGGUUCAAAUACAUAUGUAUGGAUAUUGGAUAAUGUAGUUAGUUAUAAAUGGCUGUAAAAUUGUCUUCAUGUAUAUUUACUCUGUUUUGUUCUUCUCACUGAUCUUCGGCCUUUCCAUGUCAUUACAAGUAUUAUUUGAGUCAUUAUAGAUAAUUUCUCAAAUAAAUAUUGGUUUUUGUUUGGUAACAUGCA
Molecule: long non-coding RNA, 1293 nt
Organism: Brassica napus (rape)
Lineage: Eukaryota; Viridiplantae; Streptophyta; Magnoliopsida; Brassicales; Brassicaceae
Exons: 3
Source: RefSeq, a predicted model, not a curated record